This 480-nucleotide ribosomal RNA is filed under the name uncultured bacterium. RNAcentral describes it as "partial 16S ribosomal RNA". It matches the Rfam family "Bacterial small subunit ribosomal RNA", at positions 28 to 507 of the family's 1533-position model. The record is from RNAcentral.
GACGAACGCUGGCGGCGUGCUUAACACAUGCAAGUCGAACGAUGAAGCAAAGAAUUGCAGCUUCGGCAGAAAUUCAUUUCGGAUUAGUGGCAGACGGGUGAGUAACGCGUGAGCAACCUACCUCUUACAAAGGGAUAGCCUCGGGAAACCGGGAUUAAUACCAUAUAACAUUGCGACGAAGCAUUUCGAUGCAAUCAAAGCUACGGCGGUAAGAGAUGGGCUCGCGCCCCAUUAACCAGAUGGUGAGGUAACGGCUCACCAUAGUAACGAUGGGUAACCGGCCUGAGAGGGUGAACGGUCACACUGGAACUGAGACACGGUCCAGACUCCUACGGGAGGCAGCAGUGGGGAAUAUUGCACAAUGGAGGGAACUCUGAUGCAGCGACGCCGCGUGAGUGAUGAAGGAAUUCGUUUCGUAAAACUCUGUUCUAUGGGAAGAAAAGGACUGUACCAUAGGAGAAAGCUCCGGCUAAAUACGUG